Molecule: long non-coding RNA, 511 nt
Filed under: Heterocephalus glaber (naked mole-rat)
Lineage: Eukaryota; Metazoa; Chordata; Mammalia; Rodentia; Bathyergidae
Description: lncRNA (ENSHGLG00100049543.1)
Source: RNAcentral
GCUAAAUCCCUGGCCCAUACCACAGCCAGUUUACAUGAAAUAGGUGUUCAAAAAGAAAAGAUGACUCUGAAAUUAAGGGUUAACCUCCAGCUAAAAGGCCUGGAUUACCUCCUCUCUAACAAGGACAAGAGGAUCAGAGCCUGGAGUAUUAGAGGGCAAGAAAACAUCCAGAAAAAAAGAAUUGGAGAGAGCUCUCAAGAGGAAAACAGAACUGCAGAGUCUCCCUUUGUAGUUCAGGCUGGCCUCAAACUCUCCUAGAUUCUCCUGCCUCGGCCUCCCAAGUGCUGGUAUCACAGGGAUCAAACUCGGGACCUUGCGGUGCGAGGCAAGCAGCGGAACCACUGAGCUAAAUCCCUGGCCCUCAAAAGUCAGUUCCAUUUCUAGCCAGAACCUGAUUGGCUCAAUUUGGCUCUUACAGCUUGAGAAUUGGAACAAUGUCACAUGUAAUGGACCACACAUUGGGAGACCUGCCAGUUAGAGACACGGACUCAGUAUUUCUGUGGAAAGGUAA